UCAAAUAUUAGUCGAUUUAGUUCUGAGUUCAUGGUACUUUUACAGGUUGUCUGUUGAGAAAUAUCCGACAAGUCCUAUGCUUGGUCAACGGGAAAUCGUCGAUGGGAAGGCUGGCAAGUACACGUGGCUAACAUACAAAGAGGUAUAUGAUCUGGUGAUUAAAAUUGGAAAUUCUAUCCGCAGCUGUGGUUAUGGAGAAGGUGUAAAAUGUGGUAUUUAUGGUGCCAAUUGUGCAGAAUGGAUUAUGAGCAUGGAGGUACAUUUUUUUUAUUUUUUAUUUUUAUAAUUUCCUCCCCCAUUGU
This is a non-coding RNA of Cajanus cajan (pigeon pea), 302 nucleotides long. NCBI's taxonomy places the organism in Eukaryota, Viridiplantae, Streptophyta, Magnoliopsida, Fabales, Fabaceae. The record is from RefSeq and is a predicted model, not a curated record.